GAAACCACAACUAAGUUAUUUGAAUAUCUAAUAGAACACUUGUUUAGGUGUGGAGGUUAUUUGUGUAUUUUUUAUUUUCUGUUUUCAGCAUGUCUAGAACAUAAAAGUCAUUCUUCACCUAUUGCACUUAUUGAUGAAAAAUCUACAAAUGAUCAUUCAUCACUUCCACAAAAGAGUCUACCUCUGGCAAAAGAAGUACUAGAUCUAUGUUUUUCUGAUGAAUAUUUCUCUGAUAAAAGACCAGCAAAAGAGGAAAAACCAACAGAUGACCAAGAACCAGUAAAAAGAAUAAUCCAAAAGAAAGAAAAUAAAGAUCACUUUGAACUUGACUGCAUAGGACCAUCUAUUAAAUCAUCUUCCUCUUCAAUAAUUAAAAAAGCAUCUUUUGAACAUGGUAAAAAACAAGAGAAUGAUUUAGACCUUUUGAACGACUUUAUUAUGCUGCGAAAUAAAUAUAAGACUUGCACCUCAAAGACUGAAGUCAGAAACAGUGAUGAAAAACAUGAUAAAGAAGAAUGUUCUUUGACUCUUCAAGAGGAAAGUCCUAUUGUUCAUAUUAAUAAAACCCUAGAGGAAAUAAAUCAGGAAAGGGGAACAGAUAAUGUCAUUGAAAUUCAAGCGUCAGAUAGCCAGUGCCAAGCAUUUUGCCUCCUUGAAGCAGCAGCUUCUCCUAUCUUAAAAAACCUUGUAUCCUUCUGUACUCUCCCUACUGCUAAUUGGAAAUUUGCCACUGUUAUUUUUGACCAAACAAGGUUUCUCUUAAAGGAACAAGAAAAAGUAGUAAGUGAUGCUGUUUACCAAGUUCCAUACGGCUAGAUCGAAGAGGACAAGUAGAAGUUAACAGGAGCUAAAGCCUGGAGAAACAAGAAAGAGCCAACUCAUGGAGAGCCCUCUAAGCCACACAAAAGAAUUUCAGGGAUGCUACUGGAUUACAUUUAUCUUUCAAAAGGUUAAUUCUGAUGGCAAUAUAGAGAGUCAGUGGGAGGUCUGAAGAUGAGGAGGCAGAAAGAACAUAAGUCAGUCUCUAAGUUGCCCAUCAGUCUAGCAAUUUUAAUAUAAAAAUAGAAUAUGCACAUAUCUAAAACUCGAACAUAAACAUUAAAAUUUUUUAAAUUUAUUAUUUCAUUUAUUACCCAAAUAUUCAUUAAACACCUAAUCUACAUGAGUUACCAUGCCAGGUCCUCUAGUGCAGUAAUUUACAAAAUUCCAUGCAGCAGAAUCACAUGAAUAGCUUUUAAGACAUAGAAAUAAUUAGGACACAAUCUAGAUGUACUGAAUACGAACCUUCAAGGAUAAAUCUAUAUUUAAAACUGCCCUUAGUGAGCAUGAAUUAGGCACUGCUGUUUUAGCAGCUAUAUGAAUUAAAUAUGUAUAAA
Molecule: long non-coding RNA, 1376 nt
Filed under: Aotus nancymaae (Ma's night monkey)
Lineage: Eukaryota; Metazoa; Chordata; Mammalia; Primates; Aotidae
Description: lncRNA (ENSANAG00000038940.1)
Source: RNAcentral